AACGAACGCUGGCGGCAUGCCUUACACAUGCAAGUCGAACGGCAGCACGGGAGCAAUCCUGGUGGCGAGUGGCGAACGGGUGAGUAAUAUAUCGGAACGUACCCUAGAGUGGGGGAUAACGCAGCGAAAGUUGCGCUAAUACCGCAUACGUCCUACGGGAGAAAGCAGGGGACCUUCGGGCCUUGCGCUAUCAGAUGAGCCUAGGUCGGAUUAGCUAGUUGGUGAGGUAAUGGCUCACCAAGGCGACGGAUCCGUAACUGGUCUGAGAGGAUGAUCAGCCACACUGGGACUGAGACACGGCCCAGACUCCUACGGGAGGCAGCAGUGGGGAAUUUUGGACAAUGGGCGCAAGCCUGAUCCAGCAAUGCCGCGUGCAGGAUGAAGGCCUUCGGUU
RNAcentral lists this ribosomal RNA (394 nucleotides) under uncultured bacterium. RNAcentral's name for it is "bacterial SSU rRNA". It matches the Rfam family "Bacterial small subunit ribosomal RNA", at positions 29 to 423 of the family's 1533-position model. The record is from RNAcentral.